AUCCUUUCCUGGCAGGGGAGAGGCUGUGAUCACGAAGGUGGUUUUCCCAGGGUAAGGCUUAUCCAUCGCACUCCGGAGGUGCUGGCCCCUGUGAUUUCCCCGAAAGUGGGAAGCUUGACUGCAAAAUUUGUGGUGGGUAGGCUGGGGGACCGCGUUCACACUGUUUCCUG
Molecule: small nuclear RNA, 170 nt
Organism: Pteronotus mesoamericanus
Lineage: Eukaryota; Metazoa; Chordata; Mammalia; Chiroptera; Mormoopidae
Product: U1 spliceosomal RNA
Exons: 1
Source: RefSeq, a predicted model, not a curated record